GAUCGGUGUUGAAAGUAGACAACUCUGAGCAUCAGGAGACCUUCUAGUUCACCUGACUCAUGAUCCCUGUAGUGCUGAAA
Small nucleolar RNA from Suricata suricatta (meerkat), 80 nucleotides. The record is from Ensembl. NCBI's taxonomy places the organism in Eukaryota, Metazoa, Chordata, Mammalia, Carnivora, Herpestidae.